Molecule: long non-coding RNA, 1388 nt
Filed under: Olea europaea subsp. europaea
Lineage: Eukaryota; Viridiplantae; Streptophyta; Magnoliopsida; Lamiales; Oleaceae
Source: RNAcentral
GGGGAAUGGGAGGAGGAUUCAUUCAGUAAAUUUUGUUUAGAAAAGUGGGCAGUGAUAAAGGCCUCUUGAAAUCCUUGGAAUUGUCAUUCACAUUUUAUUAAACUUCAAUAUAGCAUUUAAUUACAACUUGUUCUCUACCUUACAAAUUCUAGACCACUCUAUACAUACUACUUAUUAAUCUAGAGAUUAUCAUACAUCCUUCACUAAUAUAACAAAUUCUACUACCACAGCAGCUAGCCCAAAGCAGGAAGUCUCUCCAACAACACCAGUAGCUAUAGAACUAAUAUCAGCCAUCAAAAAGCUAUCAAUUGGUAUCAAAUGAAAAGAAAAUUUAGCAAGGAAUGGGAGGAAAAAUGGAACUCAUUAAUGAGUCGAUUUGACUGCUAGAUGUUGCAACAAGAAAGGGGAGAUCGGGAAAAGGAUUUGGGAUUGGAUUUACUAGGUCGACUAAGAAUAUCAAUAUUCUAUGAUGACGAUCCAGAUUGGUGGCUAGGAAAAGCAGACAAAAUUUUCUCAAGGAAUCAAUUGUUGGAGAAGGAAAAAGUGGAAGCCAUUGUAGCAUGCUUGGACGGUGAAGCAUAGGAGUAGUUUCAAUGGUUAGAUCGCCGUCAACCUAUGGAAACUUGGGGAGAAUUGAAAGAGGGGAUGACAGUCAGAUUUUCGCCCGUCCAUAGGAGAGAACUCACAGGACGUACCUUUACUUCUAAAAUUCCAAACAAGAUCGCUGAGGCAGGCGUGAACGUGGAAGGAUCAAAUGAAGUCAGUUAUGGAGGAAUCACAAAGGAAACAUACCAGAACAUAGAGGAAAAGGAGGUCGUAUUCACUUCGUCUGAACCAACCAUUAUUUCUGAAACUCCGCUGCAAUUGGAGUAAAUUAGGACAAUUGUACCUAACUGAACCACCAUGUGGAAGAAGUGAAGAUAGAGAUACACAGCUAUAAACUGGACAAAUUAUUUGAAAUCGUUUCAACACCAUUACUGGUGACUUCAGAGGGGGUGUUCGAGGAAAAUUUUAACAAUUGUGAAACCCCACCCAAACAGGAGAAAAUCAGAUUAAGUACAGGCGUCCAGCAUCUUAGGGAAUACCGGAGGCCAUUCGAAGUCAGGAUCCAUUCUGAAAUUCCCAUCACAAUCAAAGAAGGAGCUAGCACGGUCGAUGGAAACAAUCGUGAGAAAAAUGCCGAUAGAUGAAACCUAAGAUUGGUUUUUGGCAGGAAAUCUUGGCUAUGGGCAGCAAUCAUAGGUUAAGGUUGAAGUCAAAAUGAGGCAGCAAUGUUUGGGCCAAAAUAGAGAUUUAGCCCAAAUGAUAGAGGUCCAAAAAGAGCCUCUAAAAAAAAGCUCAAAUUGAUUCUGGCCCAUAUGAAAUUAAAAUCAAUUUUUACAGUCCCA